Molecule: ribosomal RNA, 279 nt
Filed under: uncultured bacterium
Lineage: Bacteria
Description: partial 16S ribosomal RNA
Rfam family: Bacterial small subunit ribosomal RNA
Source: RNAcentral
UGCCAGCCGCCGCGGUAAUACGGAGGGUGCAAACGUUGCUCGGAAUCAUUGGGCGUAAAGCGCAUGUAGGCGGUUAGUUAAGUCGGUUGUGAAAGCCCUGGGCUUAACCCAGGAAGUGCAUCCGAUACUGGCUAACUAGAAUAUGGGAGAGGGUGGCGGAAUUCCCGGUGUAGAGGUGAAAUUCGUAGAUAUCGGGAGGAACACCAGUGGCGAAGGCGGCCACCUGGACCAAUAUUGACGCUGAGAUGCGAAAGCGUGGGUAGCAAACAGGAUUAGAUA